RNAcentral lists this ribosomal RNA (253 nucleotides) under uncultured bacterium. RNAcentral's name for it is "partial 16S ribosomal RNA". It matches the Rfam family "Bacterial small subunit ribosomal RNA", at positions 524 to 776 of the family's 1533-position model. The record is from RNAcentral.
UACGUAGGGGGCAAGCGUUAUCCGGAUUUAUAGGGCGUAAAGGGAACGCAGGCGGUCUUUUAAGUCUGAUGUGAAAGCCUUCGGCUUAACCGGAGUAGUGCAUUGGAAACUGGGAGACUUGAGUGCAGAAGAGGAGAGUGGAACUCCAUGUGUAGCGGUGAAAUGCGUAGAUAUAUGGAAGAACACCAGUGGCGAAAGCGGCUCUCUGGUCUGUAACUGACGCUGAGGUUCGAAAGCGUGGGUAGCAAACAGG